This 1180-nucleotide ribosomal RNA is filed under the name Salmonella enterica subsp. enterica serovar Javiana. RNAcentral's name for it is "partial 23S ribosomal RNA". It matches the Rfam family "Bacterial large subunit ribosomal RNA", at positions 557 to 1735 of the family's 2925-position model. Lineage: Bacteria; Pseudomonadati; Pseudomonadota; Gammaproteobacteria; Enterobacterales; Enterobacteriaceae. The record is from RNAcentral.
CGUGUACGUACAAGCAGUGGGAGCACAGGUUUACCUGUGUGACUGCGUACCUUUUGUAUAAUGGGUCAGCGACUUAUAUUCUGUAGCAAGGUUAACCGAAUAGGGGAGCCGGAGGGAAACCGAGUCUUAACCGGGCGUUAAGUUGCAGGGUAUAGACCCGAAACCCGGUGAUCUAGCCAUGGGCAGGUUGAAGGUUGGGUAACACUAACUGGAGGACCGAACCGACUAAUGUUGAAAAAUUAGCGGAUGACCUGUGGCUGGGGGUGAAAGGCCAAUCAAACCGGGAGAUAGCUGGUUCUCCCCGAAAGCUAUUUAGGUAGCGCCUCGUGAAUUCAUCUCCGGGGGUAGAGCACUGUUUCGGCUAGGGGGCCAUCCCGGCUUACCAACCCGAUGCAAACUGCGAAUACCGGAGAAUGUUAUCACGGGAGACACACGGCGGGUGCUAACGUCCGUCGUGAAGAGGGAAACAACCCAGACCGCCAGCUAAGGUCCCAAAGUCAUGGUUAAGUGGGAAACGAUGUGGGAAGGCCCAGACAGCCAGGAUGUUGGCUUAGAAGCAGCCAUCAUUUAAAGAAAGCGUAAUAGCUCACUGGUCGAGUCGGCCUGCGCGGAAGAUGUAACGGGGCUAAACCAUGCACCGAAGCUGCGGCAGCGACGCUGAUGCGUUGUUGGGUAGGGGAGCGUUCUGUAAGCCUGUGAAGGUGGCCUGUGAGGGUUGCUGGAGGUAUCAGAAGUGCGAAUGCUGACAUAAGUAACGAUAAAGCGGGUGAAAAGCCCGCUCGCCGGAAGACCAAGGGUUCCUGUCCAACGUUAAUCGGGGCAGGGUGAGUCGACCCCUAAGGCGAGGCCGAAAGGCGUAGUCGAUGGGAAACGGGUUAAUAUUCCCGUACUUGGUGUUACUGCGAAGGGGGGACGGAGAAGGCUAUGUUGGCCGGGCGACGGUUGUCCCGGUUUAAGCGUGUAGGUGUGUGUUCCAGGUAAAUCCGGUUCACUUUAACACUGAGGCGUGAUGACGAGGCACUACGGUGCUGAAGCAACAAAUGCCCUGCUUCCAGGAAAAGCCUCUAAGCAUCAGGUAACAUCAAAUCGUACCCCAAACCGACACAGGUGGUCAGGUAGAGAAUACCAAGGCGCUUGAGAGAACUCGGGUGAAGGAACUAGGCAAAAUGGUGCCGUAACU